RNAcentral lists this ribosomal RNA (36 nucleotides) under Chenopodium neomexicanum. The record is from RNAcentral. Lineage: Eukaryota; Viridiplantae; Streptophyta; Magnoliopsida; Caryophyllales; Amaranthaceae. RNAcentral also lists the same sequence under 5 other names.
GGUGACCUCCUGGGAAGUCCUCGUGUUGCACCCUUU